GGAGUUUGGACCGUGUCUCAGUUCCAAUGUGGGGGACCUUCCUCUCAGAACCCCUACUGAUCGACGGCUUGGUGGGCCGUUACCCCGCCAACAACCUAAUCAGACGCAUCCCCAUCCGUCACCGGAAAAACCUUUACUCCUCAUUAGAUGUCCGCAAAGGAGAUCAUCAGGUAUUAAUUCGCCUUUCGGCGGGCUAUCCCUGAGUGACGGGAAGGUUGGAUACGCGUUACUCACCCGUGCGCCGGUCGCCAUCAUCGGUUGCAAGCAACCGACAUGCUGCCCCUCGACUUGCAUGUGUUAAGCCUGUAGCUAGCGUUCAUC
RNAcentral lists this ribosomal RNA (321 nucleotides) under uncultured Prevotella sp. Its description in RNAcentral is "partial 16S ribosomal RNA". The record is from RNAcentral. Lineage: Bacteria; Pseudomonadati; Bacteroidota; Bacteroidia; Bacteroidales; Prevotellaceae.